UAAGAAGACGGGAGGAUGAGUACAGAUUUACAAAAUUACUUCAGAUUGCUGGAAUGAGCCCACAUGGUAAUGCUUUAGGAGCAUCAAUGCAGCAACAGGUAAAUCAACAGAUACCUCAGGAAAAAUGAGGAGGUGAAGUAUUGGAUUCUUCUCAUGAUGACAGAAAACUUGAAAAAAGUAAUAUUUUGCUACUUGGACCAACUGGGUCAGGUAAAACUCUGCUGGCACAAACCCUAGCUGAAUGCCUUGAUGUCCGUUUUGCUAUCUGUGACUGUACAACUAUGACUCAGGCUGGAUACGUAGGCGAGGAUAUUGAAUCUGUGAUUGCCAAACUACUCCAAGAUGCCAAUUACACUGUGGAAAAAGCACAAGGAAUUGUCUUUCUGGAUGAAGUCGAUAAGAUUGGCAGUGUGCCAGGCAUUCAUCAGUUACGAAAUGUAGGUGGAGAAGGCGUUCAGCAAGGCCUAUUAAAACUACUAGAAGGCACAAUAGUCAAUGUUCCAGAAAAGAAUUCCCAAAAGCUCCGUGGAGAAACAGCACAAGUUGAUACAACAAACAUCCUGUUUGUUGCAUCUGGUGCCUUCAGUGGUUUAGACAGAAUCAUCAGCAGGAGGAAAAAUGAAAAGUAUCUUGGAUUUGGAACACCAUCUAAUCUGGGAAAAGGCAGAAGGGCUACAGCUGCUGCAGACCUUGCUAAUAAAGUGGGGAAUCAAAUACUCACCAAGACAUUGAAGAAAAAGUUCGAGGUCUGAUUGAGUUUGGCAUGAUUCCUGAGUUUGUGGGACAGUUGCCUGUGGUGGUUCCAUUGCAUAGCCUAGAUGAGAAAACACUUGUACAAAUACUAACUGAGUCAUGAAAUGCUGUUAUUCCUCAGUACCAGGCCUUAUUCAGUAUGGAUAAGUGUGAACUGAAUGUUACUGAGGAUGCUUUGAAAGCUAUAGCCAGAUUGGCACUGGAAUGAAAAAUAGGUGCACAAGGCCUUCGGUCCAUAAUGGAAAAACUGUUACUAGAACCAAUGUUUGAAGUCCCUAAUUCUGAUAUCGUACGUGUGGAGGUUGACAAAGAAGUAGUAGAAGGAAAAAAGGAACCAGGAUACAUCCGGGCUCCAACAAAAGAAUCCUCUGAAGAGGAGUAUGACUCUGGAGUUGAAGAAGAAGGACGGCCCCGCCAAGCAGAUGCUGCAAACAGCUAAACUGUCAUAUUGCUGUCCUGUAUAUACAGCUUUUCCUUCUUUUGUUUAGGAUCAUAACUGUCUCUACAGUCUGAUAUUAAAGGCAUUGGAUCUAUCUUGGAUAUCAUUACAUGGUCAGAGAAGCCUUUAGGAUAAGAAUCAGAUCAUGUAUAUUAUUGUAACAUCACAUUGAUUUUACAGAGGAUGUUAUGUGGACUUUAAUGACACAGUGUUUAGAGAUAAAAUGUACAUUAUUUUGGUUCAGUUUUUUAAAAAAAACUAUGCUUUAACAAAAUUCUUAGGAAUUCUUUUAAGCAAUGCAGGUAUUGCAAUAACUGUAGAUGUUACAAUAAUGUUACUCCACAAAUGGGAAAAUAAAUUCUUUAAAAUUUAAUAUUGAGAAAAAAAAAUACAUCACUUUGCCUCUAGCAAAUAAGAACAAUGUCUCUUUGCUGAUUCAGCUAUAUUGAAUCUUUCCAAAGCAUCUGCUUCAGUUAAAGCAAGUUUCAAUUAGUAUUAUUCUAAUUAGAACAAUUUCUAAUUUUACAGAUGAGGUUUCACUAUAUUGCACAGG
This is an RNA transcript of Cercocebus atys (sooty mangabey), 1745 nucleotides long. It is a transcript of the gene named ATP-dependent Clp protease ATP-binding subunit clpX-like, mitochondrial, with no coding region annotated. Lineage: Eukaryota; Metazoa; Chordata; Mammalia; Primates; Cercopithecidae. The transcript has a single exon. The record is from RefSeq and is a predicted model, not a curated record.